GAGGAAGGCCUUCGGGUCGGAAAGUUCUUUUCUCUGGAAGAAAGUGCCGAGCUUAAUGCGCACAACAAUUGACGUAACUCUGAGAACAACCCCCGGAUAACACCGUGCCAGCAGCCGCGGUAAUAA
This 126-nucleotide ribosomal RNA is filed under the name uncultured bacterium. RNAcentral describes it as "partial 16S ribosomal RNA". The record is from RNAcentral.